Molecule: ribosomal RNA, 450 nt
Filed under: uncultured bacterium
Lineage: Bacteria
Description: partial 16S ribosomal RNA
Rfam family: Bacterial small subunit ribosomal RNA
Source: RNAcentral
GUAGGGAAUCUUCGGCAAUGGACGAAAGUCUGACCGAGCAACGCCGCGUGAGUGAAGAAGGUUUUCGGAUCGUAAAACUCUGUUGGUAGAGAAGAACGUUGGUGAGAGUGGAAAGCUCAUCAAGUGACGGUAACUACCCAGAAAGGGACGGCUAACUACGUGCCAGCAGCCGCGGUAAUACGUAGGUCCCGAGCGUUGUCCGGAUUUAUUGGGCGUAAAGCGAGCGCAGGUGGUUUAUUAAGUCUGGUGUAAAAGGCAGUGGCUCAACCAUUGUAUGCAUUGGACACUGGUAGACUUGAGUGGAGGAGAGGAGAGUGGAAUUCCAUGUGUAGCGGUGAAAUGCGUAGAUAUAUGGAGGAACACCGGUGGCGAAAGCGGCUCUCUGGCCUGUAACUGACACUGAGGCUCGAAAGCGUGGGGAGCAAACAGGAUUAGAAACCCUGGUAGUCC